This 943-nucleotide ribosomal RNA is filed under the name Limosilactobacillus reuteri. RNAcentral's name for it is "bacterial SSU rRNA". It matches the Rfam family "Bacterial small subunit ribosomal RNA", at positions 49 to 933 of the family's 1533-position model. The record is from RNAcentral. Lineage: Bacteria; Bacillati; Bacillota; Bacilli; Lactobacillales; Lactobacillaceae.
CUAUACAUGCAGUCGUACGCUCUGGGCCUCUGAGUGAUGGUGAUUGCGCCUGAAUGACAAUAGAUCCCUUGUGAGUGGCGGACGGGUGAGUAAUACGUAGUGGGCCUGUACCUCUCGGGGGAUAACAUUUGGAAACAAAUGAUGCUACCGCGUACAACAAUAGCCACCUGGCUUUUGUUUGAUAGAUGACUUUGGCUAUAACUCUAGGAUGGACCUGCGGUGUGCUAUCUAGUUGGUAAGGUGACGGCUUACCACGGCGAUGAUAUGCAGCCCAGUUGAGAGACUGAUCGGCCACAAUGGAACUGAGACACGGUCCAUACUCCUACAGGAGGCGCCACUAUGGAAUCUUCCACAAUGGGCGCAAGCCUGAUGGAGCAACACCGCGUGUGUGAAAAAAGGUUUCGGCUCUCAAAACUCUGUUGUUGGAGAAAAAAGUGAGUUGAGUAACUGUUCACGCAGUGACGGUAUCCAACCACAAAGUCACGGCUAACUACGUGCCACCAGCCGCGGUAAUACAUAUGUGUUCCGCGUUAUCCGGAUUUAUUGGGCGUAAAGCGAGCGCACACGGUUGCUUAAGUCUGAUGUGAAAGCCUUCUCGCUUAACCGAAGAAUGCAUCUUGAGACCGGGCGACUUGUGUGUGCAAUAGAGACAGUGUGAACUCUCCGUGUAUCGCGUGUGAAUGCGUAUAUAUAUGUGAAGAAACCAGUGUGCGAAAGCGCGCUGUCUCUGUCUGCGACUGACACUGACGCUCUCAAACGUGUGGUAUCGAACACGAUUAUAUAUACCUGUGUAGUCUACGCCGUAUACGAUGAGUGCUAUGUGUGUUGAGAGUGUUCUCCCCCUUUCAAUGACCCACCUCACGCAAUAUAACACACUCCCUCCUGGAGAACAACAACAACGCUGUGACUCUCAUGUAAAUGACACGGAUCCCCCACAAACCCU